Molecule: long non-coding RNA, 1431 nt
Organism: Pipistrellus kuhlii (Kuhl's pipistrelle)
Lineage: Eukaryota; Metazoa; Chordata; Mammalia; Chiroptera; Vespertilionidae
Exons: 3
Source: RefSeq, a predicted model, not a curated record
UGUAUGUCUUACAGCUUUGUGAAUAGGGAAGUUCUGCUUCUGUUUGCCAGUUAAUAGCUCAAGGUACCACUAAAGAGGUCUUUGCGUGUUAGAAUGCUUUAUCUGAUGGCUGUUGUAGCCCAUUCUCAAGUAUUACCUAACUGCCCUAACUUACAUACCUUAAUUAUUGCUAUUUCCUCUCAGAAUCUCCAGUCUCUCCUAUCCUAACCUGCUUUGUAAGCACUGUUAAAGGCACUCCUAAACGUCACUUUCUCUUCAAGCCUCCCUGUCCUCCCAUUUGGUUUUGGAGUAGGGGAUAAAGGAGGGAUUAUCUCCCAUUACAAAUAUUGUGCUGUACUCCUAAGGGCUCUUGACACCCUCUGUCUUAGCCCUCCUUUGAUGUAUGCUGGGAAAGAAGACAGUAGAGGAUAGUAUAGUCUAGCCUUCCUCAUGCCUUAAAGGAAGUAUCUGGCCUCAAUUAUUGAAGGUUCUUUUUAAGACAUGGGGUAUUUAACCCUUCUCUUUUCCUAAGCUGUGGGUUUUGUUGACAAUUUCAGGGCAACAAGAAAUUCCCACAAUGUCUGUUGCAUUUUUUCACUAUUCCCCAUUACAAUAUGUUCUGUUUUGUGCUUAUGUAUAUUUUGAAGUCAAUAAAGUUUACAGGCAGCUAGGAAGACCACAAUGAAUGUGUCUUCAGUUGGAUCAAAUUUUCAUUUAAAACAUUUAUUGGAUGGCAUUUUAUUGGUAAUGGAACAGAGUAAGUUUAAAAAUCCUUAGUGGGUCAGACAAGUGAUGAAUUUUGUUAAUUUGUAAAAAGACUUCAUAAAAGACAUGAAUUUCUAAUAAUAUUACUGACCUUUUGAAAAUUCUUUCUCCUUUUAACAGUAACCAUUUAUGCUAUGAAAAUUUAUUUUAAAUUAAAGUGAUUUUAGUGAAAAAAUCUUUUUUCAAUUUUAAAUUUUCCUUGAGAAAAUAGGGAUGGCGUGAUAGUCUUUAUAUCACAAAAGCAUGUAUAAAUUGUAGGCAACAAGUCAGUCACUCUGCUGGUCAGACUAGUGAGAUGUAGUUCCUUGUCUAGUGAGAUUUGUUGUCUAACAGGCCAAGGAAGAUGGGUAUAUUUGAAGGGAAGCUGGCAAACUUAGGGGCAGUAGUGAGAUGACUAGACAAGGUGAAUAUGGCUAAGGAUUUAGGAUGGAAGAGACAGGUGCAGUGCAAUGGUGGAAUAGGCUAAUGAAUAGUUUUGGUAAGGAUAGAGAAUAUUUCUUCAGGUCCCUAGGAAACCUUCUAAAAUUAAAGAACAAAUGAAGUACCUACUUUAUCAAUAACAGCAAGAUUUUUGACAAAGAAAUGGUUGUGAUAACUGGUAGGAAAAUUCUUAAGAACUGACUAGAUGUAGAAGAAAAGACUGUUAGUAAAUGAAAGAGAAUUUUAAGUGCUGGCUUCCUUCUCUUU